Molecule: long non-coding RNA, 284 nt
Filed under: Urocitellus parryii (Arctic ground squirrel)
Lineage: Eukaryota; Metazoa; Chordata; Mammalia; Rodentia; Sciuridae
Description: lncRNA (ENSUPAG00010008578.1)
Source: RNAcentral
CUCCCAUCUAAAAAGACCUGCCAACCCUCCUGAUUUCAGGUCUUCACUUCUGCCAUAUGACUCAAAGAUCAGAGACUAAGAAACCAGGAGAUCUAUUAAAGGGCCUUCAAAACACACUGACAACUAUUGACAUGUCUCCUAUUUUAUGCCCCAGAAUAUUAAAAGAGAAAAGAAGAGAAUUGUAUAUGAUUUUCUCAGCCAUGAUGUUAAUUGCCUUAAAAGGAAGUUAUGCACCCAAUGAAGAAUGGAGCCAUCCAAGUGGCCUGAAGCUAAGGAAUUCAGGU